ACGCACGCUGGCGGCAUGCCUAACACAUGCAGGUCGAACGAGACCUUCGGGUCUAGUGGCGCACGGGUGCGUAACGCGUGGGAACCUGCCCUUAGGUUCGGAAUAACUCCCCGAAAGGGGUGCUAAUACCGGAUAAUGUCUUCGGACCAAAGAUUUAUCGCCUUUGGAUGGGCCCGCGUUGGAUUAGCUAGUUGGUAGGGUAAAAGCCUACCAAGGCGACGAUCCAUAGCUGGUCUGAGAGGAUGAUCAGCCACACUGGGACUGAGACACGGCCCAGACUCCUACGGGAGGCAGCAGUGGGGAAUAUUGGACAAUGGGCGAAAGCCUGAUCCAGCAAUGCCGCGUGAGUGAUGAAGGCCUUAGGGUUGUAAAGCUCUUUUACCCGGGAUGAUAAUGACAGUACCGGGAGAAUAAGCGCCGACUAACUCCGUG
RNAcentral lists this ribosomal RNA (432 nucleotides) under uncultured bacterium. Its description in RNAcentral is "partial 16S ribosomal RNA". It matches the Rfam family "Bacterial small subunit ribosomal RNA", at positions 29 to 507 of the family's 1533-position model. The record is from RNAcentral.